RNAcentral lists this ribosomal RNA (350 nucleotides) under uncultured Lysobacteraceae bacterium. RNAcentral's name for it is "bacterial SSU rRNA". It matches the Rfam family "Bacterial small subunit ribosomal RNA", at positions 790 to 1138 of the family's 1533-position model. The record is from RNAcentral. Lineage: Bacteria; Pseudomonadati; Pseudomonadota; Gammaproteobacteria; Lysobacterales; Lysobacteraceae.
GUAGUCCACGCCCUAAACGAUGCGAACUGGAUGUUGGGGACAAUUGAGUCUUCAGUAUCGAAGCUAACGCGUUAAGUUCGCCGCCUGGGGAGUACGGUCGCAAGACUGAAACUCAAAGGAAUUGACGGGGGCCCGCACAAGCGGUGGAGUAUGUGGUUUAAUUCGAUGCAACGCGAAGAACCUUACCUGGCCUUGACAUCCACGGAACUUUCCAGAGAUGGAUUGGUGCCUUCGGGAACCGUGAGACAGGUGCUGCAUGGCUGUCGUCAGCUCGUGUCGUGAGAUGUUGGGUUAAGUCCCGCAACGAGCGCAACCCUUGUCCUUAGUUGCCAGCACGUAAUGGUGGGAAC